This 301-nucleotide ribosomal RNA is filed under the name uncultured bacterium. RNAcentral's name for it is "partial 16S ribosomal RNA". It matches the Rfam family "Bacterial small subunit ribosomal RNA", at positions 509 to 807 of the family's 1533-position model. The record is from RNAcentral.
CAGCAGCCGCGGGAAAACGUAGGUGGCAAGCGUUGUCCGGAAUUAUUGGGCGUAAAGCGCGCGCAGGUGGUUUAAUAAGUCUGAUGUGAAAGCCCACGGCUCAACCGUGGAGGGUCAUUGGAAACUGUUAAACUUGAGUGCAGGAGAGAAAAGUGGAAUUCCUAGUGUAGCGGUGAAAUGCGUAGAGAUUAGGAGGAACACCAGUGGCGAAGGCGGCUUUUUGGCCUGUAACUGACACUGAGGCGCGAAAGCGUGGGGAGCAAACAGGAUUAGAUACCCGUGUAGUCCCUGUCUCUUAUAC